This 440-nucleotide ribosomal RNA is filed under the name uncultured bacterium. Its description in RNAcentral is "partial 16S ribosomal RNA". It matches the Rfam family "Bacterial small subunit ribosomal RNA", at positions 338 to 795 of the family's 1533-position model. The record is from RNAcentral.
CCUACGGGUGGCUGCAGUGGGGAAUAUUGCACAAUGGGCGAAACCCUGAUGCAGCGACGCCGCGUGAGUGAAGAAGUCUUUCGGUCUGUAAAGCUCUUUCAGCAGGGAAGAAAAUGAGGGUACUUGAUCCAGAAGCGACGGCUAACUACGUGCGAGCAGCCGCGGUAAUACGGAGGGGGCAAGCGUUAUCCGGAUUUACUGGGUGUAAGGGGAGUGUAGACGGGAGGAAAAGUCUGGAGUGAAAUGCCGGGGCUUAAGCCCGGAACUGCCUUUGAAACUGUGCAGCUGGAGUGCAGGAGAGGUAAGUGGAAUGCCUGGUGUAGCGGUGAAAUGCGUAGAUAUCAGGAGGAACACCGGUGGCGAAGGCGGCUUACUGGACUGUAACUGACGUUGAGGCUCGAAAGCGUGGGGAGCAAACAGGAUUAGAUACCCCUGUAGUC